This 401-nucleotide ribosomal RNA is filed under the name uncultured Helcococcus sp. RNAcentral describes it as "bacterial SSU rRNA". It matches the Rfam family "Bacterial small subunit ribosomal RNA", at positions 355 to 774 of the family's 1533-position model. The record is from RNAcentral. Lineage: Bacteria; Bacillati; Bacillota; Tissierellia; Tissierellales; Peptoniphilaceae.
UGGGGAAUUUUGCACAAUGGGGGAAACCCUGAUGCAGCGACGCCGCGUGAACGAUGAAGGUCUUCGGAUUGUAAAGUUCUGUCCUUAGUGAAGAUAAUGACUGUAACUAAGAAGCAAGCCCUGGCUAAAUACGUGCCAGCAGCCGCGGUAAUACGUAUGGGGCAAGCGUUGUCCGGAAUUAUUGGGCGUAAAGGGUACGUAGGCGGUAAUUUAAGUCUGAAUUAAAAGGCUGUGGCUCAACCAUAGUAAGGUUCAGAUACUGGAUUACUUGAGUAGAUGAGGGGAAAGUGGAAUUCCAUGUGUAGCGGUGAAAUGCGUAGAUAUAUGGAGGAACACCUGUGGCGAAGGCGACUUUCUGGAAUCUAACUGACGCUGAGGUACGAAGGCGUGGGGAGCAAACA